AUGCAAGUCGAACGAAGUAGCAAUACUUAGUGGCAGACGGGUGAGUAACAUGUGGGUAUCUACCCUUUGGCCUGGAAUAACACGAGGAAACUUGUGCUAAUACCGGAUAAGUCUUUACGGAGAAAGCUUUAUGCACCAUUGGAUGAGCCCGCACUUGAUUAGUUUGUUGGUAGGGUAAUGGCCUACCAAGACUAUGAUCAAUAGCUGAUUUGAGAGGAUGAUCAGCCACAUUGGGACUGAGACACGGCCCAAACUCCUACGGGAGGCAGCAGUGGGGAAUCUUGCACAAUGGAGGAAACUCUGAUGCAGCGAUGCCGCGUGAGUGAAGAAGGCCUUUGGGUUGUAAAGCUCUUUCGUCGGGGAAGAAAAUGACUGUACCCGAAUAAGAAGGUCCGG
Molecule: ribosomal RNA, 396 nt
Filed under: uncultured bacterium
Lineage: Bacteria
Description: bacterial SSU rRNA
Rfam family: Bacterial small subunit ribosomal RNA
Source: RNAcentral